RNAcentral lists this long non-coding RNA (882 nucleotides) under Pavo cristatus (Indian peafowl). RNAcentral describes it as "lncRNA (ENSPSTG00000008693.1)". Lineage: Eukaryota; Metazoa; Chordata; Aves; Galliformes; Phasianidae. The record is from RNAcentral.
AAAGUAUAGUGGACCCAUGUGGGCUGGAUUCAAUCAUCUCAGUGCGGCUUUUGGCAGCUCCGUCACCAAACCUGAGCAGCUCCGCUUCCCAAGGGGCACCGGACGGCAGAGCACACCUCGCUGCCCCUCCUGUGCUUUGACGUGGCUUAGAGACAACGUGGAACUGGGGAAGGAAACCCCAGUUGGGGCUCUCCAAGGAAGCCAGCGGAAACACAGCUCUCAUCAUCGCAUCCCUCUCAGGUAAUUGGGUCAGAAAUCAGGUGAGAUUUGCUCCAAAGCAGAUGCAAUGUAUUGGAUGUCAGUAAUUUUCUGACAGGUUCAGUAGCAGGCUGGGGGCUUGGGAUGGCCAUGAAACCAACGGCUGGUGUUCCCUAUGCUCACCUUUUUCUAGUCCAUUUGCUAUCUAAUGUUUCAAGGUAUGACCUAAGCGUGGCACUCGAGUGGCCAAAGGGGCAGCCCUUGUACUGCCCGCAGUAAAAAACCAGGGUUGCAUCUCAUGUAUUCCCCCAGAAGAACUGAGAACAGCAGCAAGUCGAGGCAUUGCUGGGGCUGUUGAGGACUUUUAAGCUGGAGUGGGCACAGUUCUCUGCCCGAUGCUGUUGGGGACAGCCUGGAUGUGGUGCCCCCAGUCUGGAAGAGCGUAGUGCUGAGGCCUAAAGGCACGUUAAGAUGCUCCCCUGAAGCCCGAGAGCUGCGUUAAGAGCCAGGACAUGCAGUGCAGGAUGUUGGGUGUAGAAAGCAGCUCUCCAAAGCUUGUGCUUGAGCAAGACAGCGAUGAACCGUGUUUCAAGGCUCUGUUCAGCGGCCACCUGGAAUUUUAAGUAAGUGCCUCGAGUUACAAGUAUCUGUUAGGCUUAAGCCUGUCUCUUAUACACAUAGAUG